CCCCUCUCAGGACCACAACUGGAGAGUUUCCAGUACUCUACCGGUCUCAGCUUUGCGAGGGAGAGUCAAGCAGAGACAUACCCAUUCCAUUCUUAGCUUGGACAGUGGUUAGCGAGUGGAAGGCAACCUGCUACAAGU
Molecule: non-coding RNA, 138 nt
Organism: Ornithorhynchus anatinus (platypus)
Lineage: Eukaryota; Metazoa; Chordata; Mammalia; Monotremata; Ornithorhynchidae
Source: Rfam